GAUGAACGCUAGCGGCAGGCCUAACACAUGCAAGUCGAGGGGUAACAGAAGAGAGCUUGCUUUCUUGCUGACGACCGGCGCACGGGUGCGUAACGCGUAUGCAACCUACCUCUUACUGGAGGAUAGCCCGGAGAAAUCCGGAUUAAUACUCCAUAGUAUGUAUUAUUCGCAUGUUUAAUACAUUAAAGGUUACGGUAAGAGAUGGGCAUGCGUCCUAUUAGCUAGAUGGUAAGGUAACGGCUUACCAUGGCAACGAUAGGUAGGGGGCCUGAGAGGGUGAUCCCCCACACUGGUACUGAGACACGGACCAGACUCCUACGGGAGGCAGCAGUGAGGAAUAUUGGGCAAUGGAGGCAACUCUGACCCAGCCAUGCCGCGUGCAGGAAGAAGGUCCUAUGGAUUGUAAACUGCUUUUAUUUGGGAAUAAACUCCGGUACGUGUACCGGCCUGAAUGUACCAAAUGAAUAAGCACCGGCUAACUCCG
Molecule: ribosomal RNA, 484 nt
Filed under: uncultured Fluviicola sp.
Lineage: Bacteria; Pseudomonadati; Bacteroidota; Flavobacteriia; Flavobacteriales; Crocinitomicaceae
Description: bacterial SSU rRNA
Rfam family: Bacterial small subunit ribosomal RNA
Source: RNAcentral